This 465-nucleotide ribosomal RNA is filed under the name uncultured bacterium. RNAcentral describes it as "partial 16S ribosomal RNA". It matches the Rfam family "Bacterial small subunit ribosomal RNA", at positions 28 to 507 of the family's 1533-position model. The record is from RNAcentral.
GACGAACGCUGGCGGCGUGCUUAACACAUGCAAGUCGAACGGAAAGGCCCUGCUUGCAGGGUACUCGAGUGGCGAACGGGUGAGUAACACGUGGGUGAUCUGCCCUGCACUUCGGGAUAAGCCUGGGAAACUGGGUCUAAUACCGGAUAGGAGCCAUUUUUAGUGUGAUGGUUGGAAAGUUUUUUCGGUGUAGGAUGAGCUCGCGGCCUAUCAGCUUGUUGGUGGGGUAAUGGCCUACCAAGGCGGCGACGGGUAGCCGGCCUGAGAGGGUGGACGGCGACAUUGGGACUGAGAGACGGCCCAGACUCCUACGGGAGGCAGCAGGGGGGAAUAUUGCACAAGGGGCGCAAGCCGGAUGCAGCGACGCCGCGUGGGGGAUGACGGCCUUCGGGUUGUAAACCCCUUUCGCUAGGGACGAAGCUUUUUGUGACGGUACCUAGAUAAGAAGCACCGGCUAACUACGUG